UACGUAGGCAGCGAGCGUUGUUCGGAGUUACUGGGCGUAAAGGGCUCGUAGGCGGCCAACUAAGUCGGACGUGAAGUCCCCAGGCUCAACCUGGGAACUGCGUCCGAUACUGGAUGGCUUGAAUCCGGGAGAGGGAUGCAGAAUUCCAGGUGUAGCGGUGAAAUGCGUAGAUAUCUGGAGGAAUACCGGUGGCGAAGGCGGCAUCCUGGACCGGCAUUGACGCUGAGGAGCGAAAGCCAGGGGAGCAAACGGG
RNAcentral lists this ribosomal RNA (253 nucleotides) under uncultured bacterium. Its description in RNAcentral is "partial 16S ribosomal RNA". It matches the Rfam family "Bacterial small subunit ribosomal RNA", at positions 524 to 776 of the family's 1533-position model. The record is from RNAcentral.